CAGUAGCCGCGGGAAUACCAGCACCUCGAGUGGUCAGGAGGUUUAUUGGGCCUAAAGCAUCCGUAGCCGGUUGCAUAAGUUUUCGGUUAAAUCUAUGCGCUUAACGUAUAGGCCGCCGAAAAUACUGUGCAGCUAGGGAGUGGGAGAGGUACACGGUACUCGAUAGGAAGGGGUAAAAUCCUUUGAUCUAUUGAUGACCACCUGUGGCGAAGGCGGUGUACCAGAACACGUUCGACGGUGAGGGAUGAAAGCUGGGGGAGCAAACCGGAUUAGAUACCCCUGUAGUCCCUGUCUCUUAUAC
RNAcentral lists this ribosomal RNA (301 nucleotides) under uncultured bacterium. RNAcentral's name for it is "partial 16S ribosomal RNA". It matches the Rfam family "Archaeal small subunit ribosomal RNA", at positions 459 to 760 of the family's 1478-position model. The record is from RNAcentral.